UGGGGAAUUUUGCACAAUGGGGGAAACCCUGAUGCAGCGACGCCGCGUGAUUUAGAAGGCCUUCGGGUUGUAAAAAUCUUUUGUAUGGGAAGAAAAUGACAGUACCAUACGAAUAAGGACCGGCUAAUUACGUGCCAGCAGCCGCGGUAAUACGUAAGGUCCGAGCGUUGUCCGGAAUCAUUGGGCGUAAAGGGUACGUAGGCGGAUAAGCAAGUUAGAAGUGAAAUCCUAUAGCUCAACUAUAGUAAGCUUUUAAAACUGCUCAUCUUGAGGUAUGGAAGGGAAAGUGGAAUUCCUAGUGUAGCGGUGAAAUGCACAGAUAUUAGGAGGAAUACCGGUGGCGAAGGCGACUUUCUGGCCAUAUACUGACGCUGAGGUACGAAAGCGUGGGUAGCAAACAGG
This 402-nucleotide ribosomal RNA is filed under the name Verrucomicrobiota bacterium. Its description in RNAcentral is "Verrucomicrobia bacterium partial 16S ribosomal RNA". It matches the Rfam family "Bacterial small subunit ribosomal RNA", at positions 355 to 776 of the family's 1533-position model. The record is from RNAcentral. Lineage: Bacteria; Pseudomonadati; Verrucomicrobiota.